Oreochromis niloticus (Nile tilapia) is the source of this 877-nucleotide long non-coding RNA. RefSeq lists it as uncharacterized. The record is from RefSeq and is a predicted model, not a curated record. Lineage: Eukaryota; Metazoa; Chordata; Actinopteri; Cichliformes; Cichlidae. The transcript is spliced from 4 exons.
GUCUCUGCCAGGGAAACACAGAGCCUGUGAGGAGCAGUGCAGGUUCCAGCAAACAAGGUGAAAGCCAUAUCCCACCAGUUCUCCGUCACAGAAAGGGGGCUCAUUGCCCUGAGUCAGUGGACAGUCAGAGAGCUGUAACUGCAAAAGCUGACGGCGAUGACUCUGAUUUUUGGUGGAGGGAGAACUGGGAGCUACGUGUGCUGCUGCUGCUAUGGUUACUGCUCUACUGUUUCUGGGUGUUGCCUCAGAUCGACCUGAAGACACUGCCCAACAUGCUGCUGAACCGCUGAACACACACACACACACAUGCACAAGCACAGCUUCUCUGAGCUAUGAGGAAAAAUAAAAAACUUUAAGUUUUUUAACAUGCACAUGCUCACACAGCCAACUGCCACAUUUUAAUGAAUCUACAUUAAGUGAAGAUAUUUAAAACAUGUAUAAUUUCAAACUUACAAGAGUUGGUUUUCUAUGUUUUGGUUUUUGGCUUCUAGUGUGGCUUGAAUCAGUCUAUGUGAGAGUGUAAAGGUCACUGGGGGAGGAAAAACAUUGCAGUCUUUUUAGAAAAAGAUCAUGCUUUUAUGAAAAUAAAGUUACAAAUUUAAGGAUAAAAAUAAACAAACCCGAUUCUGAAAAAGAUUGGACACUGUGUAAAAUGUAAGAAAAAAACCUCAACAGAAUUCUGUGAUCAGACAAACCAAUUUGAAAUUCUUCUUGGAAUGAAGAGGAGCUUGUUAUCAGCACUCAGUUCAAAAACCAGCAUCUUUGAUGGUAUGGGGCUGCAUUAGUGGCUAUGGAACUAGCAGCUGGCACAUCUGGAAAGACACAAUCAAUGCUACAAGGUCUAUAUACAUUUAAGAGAAACUAGCCAAAGACAUUA